GCGCGGCCUGGGCGGCGGAGCGGGCGGCCGACGCCUGGGCGGCGUCCUUCGAGGCGGCGGUGGCCGCGUUGUAGGCGCGGGACGCGGCC
Molecule: transfer RNA, 89 nt
Filed under: Streptomyces roseolilacinus
Lineage: Bacteria; Bacillati; Actinomycetota; Actinomycetes; Kitasatosporales; Streptomycetaceae
Description: tRNA-Pro
Source: RNAcentral